GAUGAACGCUAGCUACAGGCUUAACACAUGCAAGUCGAGGGGAAACGAUGAGAGAGCUUGCUCUCUUAGGCGUCGACCGGCGCACGGGUGAGUAACGCGUAUCCAACCUACCCAUUACAGGGGGAUAACCUUGCGAAAGUAAGACUAAUACCCCAUGGCAUUUUAUGGUGGCAUCAUUAUAGGAUUAAAGAUUUAUUGGUAAUGGAUGGGGAUGCGUCUGAUUAGCUUGUUGGCGGGGUAACGGCCCACCAAGGCAACGAUCAGUAGGGGUUCUGAGAGGAAGGUCCCCCACAUUGGAACUGGGACACGGUCCAAACUCCUACGGGAGGCAGCAGUGAGGAAUAUUGGUCAAUGGGCGAGAGCUUGAACCAGCCAAGUAGCGUGCAGGAUGACGGCCCUAUGGGUUGUAAACUGCUUUUAUAGGGGAAUAAAGUGAGCUACGUGUAGUUUAUUGCAUGUACCCUAUGAAUAAGGACCGGCUAAUUCCGUG
RNAcentral lists this ribosomal RNA (490 nucleotides) under uncultured bacterium. Its description in RNAcentral is "partial 16S ribosomal RNA". It matches the Rfam family "Bacterial small subunit ribosomal RNA", at positions 28 to 507 of the family's 1533-position model. The record is from RNAcentral.